This is a non-coding RNA of Biomphalaria pfeifferi, 732 nucleotides long. The record is from the annotation of a GenBank genome assembly. NCBI's taxonomy places the organism in Eukaryota, Metazoa, Mollusca, Gastropoda, Planorbidae.
UGGUUUUCAAUCUGUUUAAUUUUUAAUUCUCUUGAAAUCCCUUAAUUAGUUAAUAAGAAUUGAAAGAGCUGUAUACGCAAUGUAAAAUAUCCCAUGUUGACAAAUGUAAAAAAUAUGUCAUGUAUAUAAUAGUUAUAUGUUCUCUUAAAAGGGCAUUUUUAUCAUACAAGCAAGUAAAUCCAAACAGGGACAUUUCAUAGUUUCAUAUUACAAAUACAUACAUUCUGUUGUAAAUAUUAUUAUUAUAAAAACUGUUAAAAAAGGUCAAACACAGGAAUGUUAGUUGAUAAUAAACAGAGCUCUUUUUACAAAAAAAUUACCCUAACCCGAUGAGAUAACAUUCUAGCAGAAGAUAUAAUGAAAACUAGGACAUUCUGUGCAUCAAGCAACCCAGACAGUAGAUGUAAAUAAACCAAAAGUAAAUUAUCACACUCAAAAAUGUAAAUACAAUUUAUAUGUACAAACCUAUACUUCCCACAUUAAACCAUAAGUAAAUUUUCUAAUAUAACUAAAAUACAACAAAUCUAAUACCACACAAUAUUGAAGAGUUUAUAUGUAGUGAUGGGAACUAAACUAACUUUUAAAAGUUAAACUAAAACUAGUUUUCAACUAAAAUAAAGUAGUUAAACUAAAAGUUUAUCAUGAAUUUCAAAAUCUAGUUAAACUAAACUAAAGGAAAUUAAUAAAACUAUAACAAACUUUUCAUAACUUUUUUUUUUUGGGGGGGGGGGG